GAUGAACGCUGGCGGCAUGCCUAAUACAUGCAAGUCGAACGAGAGGAAGGAAAGCUUGCUUUCCUGAAUCUAGUGGCGAACGGGUGAGUAACACGUAGGUAACCUGCCCAUGUGCCCGGGAUAACUUCUGGAAACGGAUGCUAAAACCGGAUAGGUAGCAGACAAGCAUUUGACUGCUAUUAAAGUGGCCUUGGCCAUGAACAUGGAUGGACCUGCGGUGCAUUAGCUGGUUGGUGAGGUAACGGCCCACCAAGGCGACGAUGCAUAGCCGGCCUGAGAGGGCGGACGGCCACAUUGGGACUGAGACACGGCCCAAACUCCUACGGGAGGCAGCAGUAGGGAAUUUUCGUCAAUGGGGGGAACCCUGAAACGAGCAAUGCCGCGUGAGUGAGGAAGGUCUUCGGAUCGUAAAGCUCUGUUGUAAGAGAAAACGGCACUCAUAGGGAAUGAUGAGUGAGUGAUGGUAUCUUACCAGAAAGUCACGGCUAACUACGU
Molecule: ribosomal RNA, 495 nt
Filed under: uncultured bacterium
Lineage: Bacteria
Description: bacterial SSU rRNA
Rfam family: Bacterial small subunit ribosomal RNA
Source: RNAcentral